AACGAACGCUGGCGGCAUGCCUAACACAUGCAGGUCGAACGAGACCUCCGGGUCUAGUGGCGCACGGGUGCGUAACGCGUGGGAACCUGCCCUUAGGUUCGGAAUAACUCCCCGAAAGGGGUGCUAAUACCGGAUAAUGUCUUCGGACCAAAGAUUUAUUGCCUUUGGAUGGGCCCGCGUUGGAUUAGCUAGUUGGUAGGGUAAAAGCCUACCAAGGCGACGAUCCAUAGCUGGUCUGGGAGGAUGAUCAGCCACACUGGGACUGAGACACGGCCCAGACUCCUACGAGAGGCAGCAGUGGGGAAUAUUGGACAAUGGGCGAAGGCCUGAUCCAGCAAUGCCGCGUGAGUGAUGAAGGCCGUAGGGUUGUAAAGCUCUUUUACCCGGGAUGAUAAUGACGGUACCGGGAGAAUAAGCUCCGGCUAACUCCGUG
RNAcentral lists this ribosomal RNA (433 nucleotides) under uncultured bacterium. RNAcentral's name for it is "partial 16S ribosomal RNA". It matches the Rfam family "Bacterial small subunit ribosomal RNA", at positions 29 to 507 of the family's 1533-position model. The record is from RNAcentral.